ACCUGCCCUGGCCUUCCAAAGUGCUGGGAUUACAGGUGUGAGUCACGGCGCCUGGCUGAACUUAAGAAUUUUGAAAAUUAUAACUCUGAGCUUUUUAAGGAAACAGGGUUAAAAGGUAGUUUGUUGGCAGACAGGCAUCAGCAAGGUCUGUUUCGAAAGCUCAGCAUAUGAGCACACAUGUGCACACAUGCACUCAGCCUUGGCUUUGCGCUGUAAAUUUUUAGCACAAUAUACAAGUAUGGGCUUUUGUUGUCAAGGAAAUGGCUUUGUUUCUCUGAGGAGGGAGAUAUUGAGGACACUUCUCUGUAGGCAAUCACUGAGCAAGGUCGUAUUGUUUCCCAGACCUGCUGUUCUGAACAACAUGAAGCUCUUGGGUUCUGUCAAUGCCUCUCUGGCCAGUCAUUGUUACAGUGGCAGCAGGCAAGCCAGGCUUUCCUCGGUGAGGUUCAGCUCACAGCUGACAUCUACCUUCCCUUCCUACUUGCUUAGGCAAUCGUGGCUUGUGUUUAAACUGAGCAAUGAAGAAAUAUCUCAGGCAGUUUUGAGUCAGUCUUCAGGUUUCUCAGAAACUUUAAACACAGAAAUGAAUGGGGUCACUGAGGUCAGUAACUCUAGAUGCCCCUACCUCAUGGUUGGAGCAUCAGCUUCUGGAGGUCAAGGGUAGGAUUAUCAGGGGCUGCAUGAAGAAGGUAAUAGUGGGACCACUUAGAGAGAGCCAACAGUCCAGGCCAAGACAAGCUGGGACCCAGCUCUGUUUCACAUAUGAGUUAUUCCUCUUCUAAUCAGCCCUCUAGGUGAAAUUAAUCAUUUAUUUCCACUUCCUGCUACUUGUCCAACUGGUGUGGCUGUAUCUCCUUCCUGCAAAGCAAUGUUGAAGAAGCUAUGGAAGCAAGAAGGAAGCAUGGAUUCUAGAAACUGACAACAAACCACUUAUCCCUAUUGCUCUUCUUCCUAAAGCUAAAGAACCCUGGGACCUUGAGGACACCGUUUGAAAACUAUUCAUGGAAAACCCGGCAUCCUAGAAUGAGAAAUCCACAUCUGGAUCAAACUGCGUCACAGAAGCUGCGCAGGAUGACAGAUGACACCCUGUCUGGAAAGUUUCUGCCACAGGGCAAAAGACUGCAAGCAGAAUAUCCCUUUGCCGUUUCUCAUGAAGCCCUGGAGAGGAUGGUUCAUGGAGAUGAGGAUGACGACUGGGGUGAGAAAUGCGGGUGACUCGUGAGUGGACAGAGAGUGGAAGAGAAGAUGACUGGAAGAUUUUAGCAUCUAGAAAAGAAUGGAGACGACUAGAGUUGAUCUGAAGAUUAUGGCAGAAUUCAGUACUGGGGCAAAGAAACAAGAUGGGGUUAGAAAUUAGAAACAGCAGAGCUCCGAAGGUUCGAAAGGAUUUGAGCAAGAGAACAAGAAGGAGCCUGCUAAUAGCACCCUGGGUUCACAGCAAGAGAAGCACCUGGAGAGAAUUAACUAGGGAGGAGGUGGGGGCAUGGGAAACCUUUUCCUCUCCAAGAGCCGGCCGGAGCGUCAGCUGGCCUGAACUUGAAGUUACACCAGGUAGCUUGCCUGGGCUGGGAGAAAGUGAUUCUCUUCUAUGCCUCUCUCCAACGCCCUGCUCCUGACGCUGCUCCUCUACUCAUAUUGAGGGGAAGAUACAUCCCUAAGUUCCCCGCACCCCAUUCCUUGUUCUGGCUAUCUGGUCUCCUAGGAAUUUUUCUACUAAUUUUCAAUUCCUCUUUUCACCUGGUGAAAUAUUAAAUCUUACUGUUCAAUUAAAGUUCUUCUA
Long non-coding RNA from Sapajus apella (tufted capuchin), 1780 nucleotides. RefSeq lists it as uncharacterized. NCBI's taxonomy places the organism in Eukaryota, Metazoa, Chordata, Mammalia, Primates, Cebidae. The transcript has 4 exons. The record is from RefSeq and is a predicted model, not a curated record.